Molecule: non-coding RNA, 2958 nt
Organism: Aegilops tauschii subsp. strangulata
Lineage: Eukaryota; Viridiplantae; Streptophyta; Magnoliopsida; Poales; Poaceae
Source: RefSeq, a predicted model, not a curated record
CGUUUCCUUCCUCGAGAAGACAGAGAGAGGACGCACGCCACCUCCUCCCCACCUUCGCCAGAUACGACCGCCCAUUCAUCACCGCCACCCAUCGCGUCGCCCGCCCCCGCCCGCAACCUUCUCUCGUCUUCCACCCAUCCUCGCCGCGCCAUCGCACUCCCGCAAUCCUGUUAGCCUCUCUCCCUGACAUGGCUUCACUUCCCGGUGCGAAACCCUAGCGGCGGCAGCGGCGGCGGCGGCGGAUUGGUGUGGGAGGUGGUAGUGGAGACGGCGGCCUCAGGCAGGGGCAUACUAUAGGUGGCUCGACAGUCGCCUGGCAGGCUGUAUAGGCAGCGGAGGUGGAGGUCGUGCGAGGCGGCUCUUCCGCCGAUCCGUUCGUUCGAGUCCUUGGUUGCUGCGUUGACUUUCCUGGCUGCCGCCAUGCUAGCAAGCACGACCAUUGCGACGUCUUCUCUGGUGCUACCGGCAAGCAGCCGACCACAGCACUGCCAUGCCUCUGAUGCUCCAUGGUAGCCGGCCCUGCAUCUCCACUCAGGUACAGCUCGCCACUCCCCUCUCUCCUCUGGUAUGGAACAGUUGGACUGCAAAUAAUGUACAGAUUUGUGAGAUGAUGCUUGUGCUAUCUUGUUCACGUUCUGAUGAGGGAGAAAGGAAAAUGCUGUAGCCAAUGGAUGUUUAGUGGGACUACGUUCUGAUUUGACAAAGCUAAAGGAAGCAUAUAUCACAAAUUUCUAUCGGUGUCACCCUUUCUGUUACAGUUGGUUUUGCAGCCUGAUAUGUGGUUAAGAAGCUAUUGUGGAGAGGUGAAGUUAGCAGGGCUGAUGGUGGAAGCUUCCGGGUUUACUGGAGAUAUGGCAGAGUGUUACUCAAAGAAAUACACCUGGCUUGAAAUGGACUAUGGUAGAAGUGACAAGGAGACGAAGGAAGACUUUUGUUGUCAAUCAGAUAAAAGAGGCAAAGCUGGAGACUCCGAUAUUAGCAUGAUGAAGCAACAAAUGAUGGAAAUAGGUAAGUUUCUUGAUUACCGCUGCUCUUUGAACUGGUCUGAGCAUCAUAGCUGGAAGAUCCUAUAAUGUGUGCCAAAACUGUGGCGAUUAAUUCUAUGAGACAAUUUGAGAGUGAAACAAGGGACUGAAUACAUGGCCAGAGAGGCAAAUACGUACGGUCUGCUUAGAUUUAGGUGUUAGACUAACUCCUUUGAAAGUAUCUUUUGAUUGUUCAAUGUUCUCUUGGGGGUUGUACUUUUAUUCUUUAAGUAUAUUCCUGUUGAUUAUUCAUGUAGCAUUUGCUUUUACUAAUCCGUUUAUAUUUGGCUGCUACAAGAUUACUUGUGGAAGAAUAUCAGUAGCAUGCACUAUAUAUGUAUGCAGAACAGACCAUAGUCAUGAUUUUAUAUUGCUCGGAGUCUCGGACCAAGAUUUGUAUGCACCGAUCAUUGUUUCAGUCUUUAGGGGUUACAGGGAAAUGACAUAUAUUAGCCAGUGCUACCACUAAUAGUGCAAUUGUAUAUUUGAUGAAAGGAAGCAGGUUAACCACUCAGUAUUAGAGUAACAUGCUACAUGUAGAAGUACCAUCUAAAAAGGAAAGAUACAUUACUUCGUGAAAAAUCUUGGUAGAUAAAUAGUGAAGACUUUUGGCAGUGGAUUGUGUAUAAUACCACGACACUGCUAUAUCUGUCAAAACCUGACCUACAUAUAGUAGUUACUAAAUGAAAAUUUUGGAUGAAAAUUUUGGAUGAAAAUACUACUGCAUAAUGAUUCUGUUAGCAAAGCUUCAUCCUCCGAUGAAUAUGAGAUGCAUUCUUUAGACCCUUUAAUUUCCAUGAGAAGAAUGUGAUCUUAUGACUUGCUUGUUCAUUCUCCCUUUAUGCUAAAUUUAUUUCUUUCCAGAAGGCAUACUACUCUGCUUGUGCUUCCUUUGUGCUCUCUUAUCAGAUAGUAUGUCAUUUUUAUUUUCCUUAUGUUUUAUAUUAUAGCUUGUGCCGUCUUUUCCAAUUUAUAAGCACUAUUUCGCUAGUUAAUAAAUAGUUUAAAUAAUGAGCACUACAGUGGAGAGGUUUGUGUGACAGUCCAAGGAAGUCUCUAGCAGAAUGCAGUUUUCUGGGACCAGCUUUUUAACCGUGGACUUUCCAUGGAAGAUGGAUACAUACAUCUGCCUUAUUCGGGCUAUGACGUUUUAAAAAGGAUCUCUAAUACUAUUUCAAAGGCAGACAGUGACGGAAAAACGUUCCAUGAUUUCAACUAGCCUGCAGAGGACGAUUUAUCUAUGUGUUGCCGUUCACUCUCACCCUCCCAUGGAGAUGUCGCCGACAAUGCUGCCAUACAUGUCCCUGCAAUCGUCACCCCCAUCCUCAUGUCUAGAGGUGCUGGUAACUGCUAUUAUUGUUGGAACCAUUGGCUAUUUAUACAUAGAUGGAAGGUAAACAUUUAUCUCCCUGUCAACUUGCUCCGAGAGGAGAUGUCGAGGAUGACGAGCAAGUUGGCAUCCGUGAAGCUUCGCCGGAGCCAUUCCUACUCUUCUAGAGCCACAAGGAGAGCCUUGGCAGGCUGUACGAGUGGGAGAAGAAGCUCUAUGAGGAAGUCAGGAUGGUGCCCAUCGACACUGCUACCUUCCGAAGGUUGCCAUGCUAUGGAUUGACAACCAUGGGCGUGUUUCUUCCAUGCGCUGUAGAGCAGGUGGACGAGGAGAAGGGGCCAGCCCGAGCUGGACGACGGAGUGUCUUCGGAGGCGGAGGAGAGGACCAACAAUAGCAGCGACACGGUGGUGUCUAGCAGGAUCAAUAAGCUGACCCGCAGGGCUUGGCAAGGCCGUGAGACAUGGCCGCAGCAAUGGAGCACGUCUUUGGAAAAACGAACACGUCAGGCCAAUAAUAUAGACCUAUUAGCAUAUAUGCAUGAGACAGUACCGUGGCCUGCUCUGCUUUAUAAAUGAAAACUCUUCUGCUGCAGUUCUAUUUUA